AAGUAAAAGUCGUAACAAGGUCUCCGUUGGUGAACCAGCGGAGGGAUCAUUACUGAGUUACCGCUCUAUAACCCUUUGUGAACAUACCUACAACUGUUGCUUCGGCGGGUAGGCCGUCCCCUGAAAAGGACGCCUCCCGGCCCGGAACGGACCCCCUCGCGGGGCCCGGACCCGGCGCCCGCCGGAGGAUAACCAAACUCUAUUUUAACGACGUUUCUUCUGAGUGGCAUAAGCAAAAUAAUCAAAACUUUUAACAACGGAUCUCUUGGUUCUGGCAUCGAUGAAGAACGCAGCGAAAUGCGAUAAGUAAUGUGAAUUGCAGAAUUCAGUGAAUCAUCGAAUCUUUGAACGCACAUUGCGCCCGCCAGCAUUCUGGCGGGCAUGCCUGUUCGAGCGUCAUUUCAACCCUCAAGCUCUGCUUGGUGUUGGGGCCCCACGGUCGACGUGGGCCCUCAAAGGUAGUGGCGGACCCUCCCGGAGCCUCCUUUGCGUAGUAACAUUUCGUCUCGCACUGGGAUCCGGAGGGACUCUUGCCGUAAAACCCCCCAAUUCUUUCAAGGUUGACCUCGGAUCAGGUAGGAAUACCCGCUGAACUUA
Molecule: ribosomal RNA, 597 nt
Filed under: Colletotrichum gloeosporioides
Lineage: Eukaryota; Fungi; Ascomycota; Sordariomycetes; Glomerellales; Glomerellaceae
Description: eukaryotic LSU rRNA
Rfam family: 5.8S ribosomal RNA (bases 246-399)
Source: RNAcentral